Molecule: long non-coding RNA, 229 nt
Filed under: Brassica napus (rape)
Lineage: Eukaryota; Viridiplantae; Streptophyta; Magnoliopsida; Brassicales; Brassicaceae
Description: long non-coding RNA (BNAP_LNC009283)
Source: RNAcentral
UCAAACAUAACAUUAGAUCUAACUAUUGGGUGGACCUCAAACCAGUAGCAUUAGAAAAGGAACUCAGAGAUCUAUCUUGUGUCAAAAGAUCAGCUAAAUCGCACCAUUGAAAGGCCUCCAUCCAUAUCUAAACAUCUGAUGUGUUUGUUCACUUAUGCACCUCAAAAUGGUCCAUAAUCAUCAAAGUUCUCCAGAACUUACCUGAACCUGAAAAUACUCUAAAACAUAC